CCUACGGGUGGCAGCAGUGAGGAAUAUUGGUCAAUGGGAGAGAUCCUGAACCAGCCAAGCCGCGUGAGGGAAGACGGCCCUAUGGGUUGUAAACCUCUUUUGUCGGAGAACAAAACCCGGGACGUGUCCCGGACUGCGUGUAUCCGAAGAAAAAGCAUCGGCAAAAUCCGUGCCAGCAGCCGCGGUAAUACGGAGGAUGCGAGCGUUAUCCGGAUUUAUUGGGUUUAAAGGGUGCGUAGGCGGUCAGUUAAGUCAGCGGUAAGAUUGCGGGGCUCAACGCCGUCGAGCCGUUGAAACUGGUAAACUUGAGUUGGCGAGGGGUAAGCGGAAUGCGCGGUGGAGCAGUGAAAUGCGUAGAUAUCGCGAAGAACUCCAAUUGCGAAGGCAGCGUACCGGCGCCAGACUGACGCUGAGGCACGAAAGCGUGGGGAUCGAACAGGAUUAGAUACCCUAGUAGUC
Molecule: ribosomal RNA, 459 nt
Filed under: uncultured bacterium
Lineage: Bacteria
Description: partial 16S ribosomal RNA
Rfam family: Bacterial small subunit ribosomal RNA
Source: RNAcentral